This 414-nucleotide ribosomal RNA is filed under the name uncultured microorganism. RNAcentral's name for it is "bacterial SSU rRNA". It matches the Rfam family "Archaeal small subunit ribosomal RNA", at positions 459 to 872 of the family's 1478-position model. The record is from RNAcentral.
CAGCCGCCGCGGUAAUACCGGCGGCCCGAGUGGCGGUCACUAUUAUUGGGCUUAAAGCGUCCGUAGCCGGGUUGGGAAGUCCUCCGGGAAAUCUGGCCGCUUAACGGUCAGAAUGCCGGAGGAUACUCCCAGCCUAGGGAGCGGGAGAGGCCGAGGGGAUUCCCGGGGUAGGGGUGAAAUCCUAUAAUCCCGGGAGGACCACCUGUGGCGAAGGCGCUCGGCUGGAACGCGUCCGACGGUGAGGGACGAAGGCCAGGGGAGCAAACCGGAUUAGAUACCCGGGUAGUCCUGGCUGUAAACGAUGCGGACUUUGUGUCGGACAAGCUAUGAGCUUGUCCGGUGCCGGAGGGAAACCGUUAAGUCCGCCGCCUGGGGAGUACGGCCGCAAGGGUGAAACUUAAAGGAAUUGGCGGG